RNAcentral lists this non-coding RNA (35 nucleotides) under unclassified sequences. RNAcentral's name for it is "DUF805b RNA". It matches the Rfam family "DUF805b RNA". Rfam says of the family: Bacteroidetes, Chlorobi (1 example), Proteobacteria. Lineage (Flavobacteria) The record is from RNAcentral.
UAGGCGGAUGCCGAAAAGCCUUAAAUGAGUAGGUU